RNAcentral lists this unclassified non-coding RNA (77 nucleotides) under Pseudomonas helmanticensis. The record is from RNAcentral. Lineage: Bacteria; Pseudomonadati; Pseudomonadota; Gammaproteobacteria; Pseudomonadales; Pseudomonadaceae.
AGGAGCUGCCGCAGGCUGCGAUCUUUUGCUCUUGUUUUUAGAUCAAGAUCAACAGAUCGCAGCCUGCGGCAGCUCCU